CCCGCAAGGGCAACCGGCGAACGGGUGCGUAACACGUGAGCAACAUUCCGAUUUCUGGGGGAUAGCCGGCCCAACGGCCGGGUAAUACCGCAUACGCUCAUCGAGAGGAGUCUCUUGGUGAGGAAACCUCCGGGGGUAAUCGAGUGGCUCGCGGCCUAUCAGCUAGUUGGCGGGGUAAUGGCCCACCAAGGCGAUGACGGGUUGCUGGUCUGAGAGGAUGGCCAGCCACAUUGGGACUGAGAAACGGCCCAGACUCCUACGGGAGGCAGCAGUGGGGAAUCUUGCGCAAUGGCCGAAAGGCUGACGCAGCGACGCCGCGUGAGGGAGGAAGCUCUUCGGGGUGUAAACCUCUGUUGCCGGGAACGAAACUCUGGAUUCGUCCAGAUUGACGGUACUCGGUGAGGAAGCGCCGGCUAACUCUGUGCCAGCAGCCGCGGUAAUACAGAGGGCGCGAGCGUUGUCCGGAAUCACUGGGCGUAAAGGGCGCGUAGGUGGCCACUAUAAGGCCGCGGUGAAAGUUCGGGGCUCAACCCUGAAUCUGCCGCGGCGACUGUAGGGCUUGGGCACUGUAGAGGCAGAUGGAAUUCCGGGUGUAGCGGUGGAAUGCGUAGAGAUCCGGAAGAACACCAGUGGCGAAGGCGGUCUGCUGGGCAGUGGGAGCGCAAGCUCCUCUUAGCCGACACUGAGGCGCGACAGCGUGGGGAGCAAACAGGAUUAGAUACCCUGGUAGUCCACGCCGUAAACGAUGGGCACUAGGUGCUUUGGGGAGCGACCCCCGGGGUACCGGCGCUAACGCAU
RNAcentral lists this ribosomal RNA (798 nucleotides) under uncultured Gemmatimonadota bacterium. Its description in RNAcentral is "bacterial SSU rRNA". It matches the Rfam family "Bacterial small subunit ribosomal RNA", at positions 82 to 860 of the family's 1533-position model. The record is from RNAcentral. Lineage: Bacteria; Pseudomonadati; Gemmatimonadota.